GAUUAGGUGGCUGAGUAUAGGCUAUAAAUUGUAAAUUUAUAAACGGUUAAUUUACCCUUAAUCA
Molecule: transfer RNA, 64 nt
Filed under: Appolonius crassus
Lineage: Eukaryota; Metazoa; Arthropoda; Insecta; Hemiptera; Rhyparochromidae
Description: tRNA-Tyr
Source: RNAcentral